This is a long non-coding RNA of Nerophis ophidion (straightnose pipefish), 864 nucleotides long. RefSeq lists it as uncharacterized. Lineage: Eukaryota; Metazoa; Chordata; Actinopteri; Syngnathiformes; Syngnathidae. The record is from RefSeq and is a predicted model, not a curated record. The transcript has 2 exons.
UGGAGCCAAAUGUCCUUAUUUUUUUAUAUUGUUUUUAUUUUAUUUUCUCUAAUUAAUUGCUGGCCUCAGUUCAUGUUCAGUUUCCUUUUCCGCAGAUUGCUCCGCCCACUUCCUUUUGAGAACCAGGAAGUGUCAACAGGGGUGGAACUGUUGCAAUGGUGUGGUUACCAUGGUAGCCUAUUUAAAUUGGGUCCAGGUGUGAGCACACAGGGCGAUUGGAAGACAAACAGUUUUCGACCUUGUCGUGUCGUGCCUUGCCGUGACAUGACGUGAGUUGUUGUGACAAUGCUGUAUCAAUAUGCCAGCCAAGGGAAGGUGUUCAGCCCUAGGCCGGGCUGUUUCGCCUCGUUUGGACCAGGAGACGGGAGGACAGUGGACGGGAUCGUUUCGGGCCAGGAGCAACGCAGCGGCAGGCAGACAGAGGAUGCCGCGCUGAUCGAACAAAAGCCACGGCGGCUGCGGCCCUCACCGUUUUGAAUGACAGCUGAGCAGCGCUGGGACACGCAACGCUGUUUGAAGUUUUGUACUCUUUUUGAAGAUAUUGAACUCUUUUGGAAGAAAAUCUUUUGAAGACAAUAACAGAGUCACGGGCCAGCAUCAAGUAAAGGUAUGUAGCGCGCUACAGGGGUUAAUAUAUGGCCAUAUAACAGUGUGUGCACACAGACAAGCAACAAAAAAAUCCAAUGCAUUGGUGGUUAAUAUUUAUUGUUAUUGAACCCGUUAGUGGGUAUUUUCUAUGAGGUUUUGUGCAUGAUUGCAACCCGUUGGUGGGUACAUUUCAAAUACAUGGUGGUGUUUUAUGAUACCAUGUGCAAGCCCGUUCGUGGGUGAGGUUUUGGUUUGAACAAAUGCAAAUGAACAAUU